RNAcentral lists this ribosomal RNA (497 nucleotides) under uncultured bacterium. Its description in RNAcentral is "partial 16S ribosomal RNA". It matches the Rfam family "Bacterial small subunit ribosomal RNA", at positions 28 to 507 of the family's 1533-position model. The record is from RNAcentral.
GAUGAACGCUGGCGGCGUGCCUAAUACAUGCAAGUCGAGCGAACGGACGAGAUGCUUGCUUCUAUUAUGUUAGCGGCGAACGGGUGAGUAACACGUGGAUAACCUACCUAUAAGACUGGGAUAACUUCGGGAAACCGUAGCUAAUACCGCAUAAUAUUUUUAACCACAUGGUUCAAAAGUGAAAGAUGGUCUUGCUGUCCCUUAUAGAUGGCUCCAGGCUGCAUUAGCUAGUUGGUAAGUUAAGGGCUUACAAAGCCACCGUACCUUAGCCGACCUAAAAGGUGAGACGCCAAAAUGGGAACGGAGACACGGUCCAGACUCCAAGGGGGGGCGGCAGAGGGGAAUCUUCCGCAAUGAGCGAAAGCCGGACGGAGCAACGCGGCGGGAGGGAGGAAGGUCUUCGGAUGUUAAAACUCUGUUGUUGGGAAAGAAGAUAUGGAGAAGGAACUGUGCACAUAGUGACGGUACCUAAUCAGAAAGCCACGGCUAACUACGUG